Molecule: long non-coding RNA, 361 nt
Organism: Entelurus aequoreus (snake pipefish)
Lineage: Eukaryota; Metazoa; Chordata; Actinopteri; Syngnathiformes; Syngnathidae
Exons: 3
Source: RefSeq, a predicted model, not a curated record
GUCUGCAUUAUUUAUAAUUAGACAGACAACACAUCUACAGUGAGAUUUUGUUUUGUUUACAAGGAAAGAAAAACAAAAGUUAAAAAAGGGAGAUGUCAUAUAUGUUGUAUAUAUAUGUAUGUGCUGCGGUUGUUUUAAGAACGUUGCGACAGCUGCCGUAAAGGAGUUGAAUUCCCGAGCAAGGCAGAGCAAACAGUCCCACUCCCGGCCACCAGGGGGAAGAUGCCGAGAGUGUAGGAUGUUUACACUUCCUGCGACUCAGUGGUCCAGCAUUUGAUGGAUGUGAGGACAUGAGUGCCGCAGAGGGGCCAGAAUGAAGAGAGUGUCCAAAGGAAGUGCAGGAAAAAGGGAAAAUAAAGAG